UGAUAGCGAUGAAGCGUGAGGUUGCUGCCUGAAAGGGCGGGUUUUCCGUGGAGCGAAUGUCAAGUUAGGAAACUGACGACAA
Lachnospiraceae bacterium 3_1_57FAA_CT1 is the source of this 82-nucleotide regulatory RNA element. It matches the Rfam family "S10-Clostridia ribosomal protein leader". The record is from Rfam. Lineage: Bacteria; Bacillati; Bacillota; Clostridia; Lachnospirales; Lachnospiraceae.